UGACCUCAUGAUCUGCCCUCCUCAGCCUCCCAAAGUGCUAGGAUUACAGAUGUGAGCCACCGCCCCCGGCCACAGGACCUUAUGAGUCCAGGUUUUUCUUUUACUUUUAUUUGAACUUCAAAGGAAGACGAUCUUGGUAUUUUCAUUUCAAAAAAUGUUGUGGGAAAUGCCAUCAGGGAAAUGAAUCUUCGGUGGUGGCACUCCAGGCUUGGCAUAACAGCAUGCAUUUUUGCUGGUUUUAAGUGCAAAGGAUAGCUCUUAAUGCCCCUUACUGCAUUGCCAUAGUCUAUCUUCCUGGAUUCUUUACUUGUUUUGCAGGCUGAGACCUGGGAUAUUGGAAUGCGAAGGAGAUUAGAAGCUGGUUACAUUUAAACAGGCAAGCCAGCUGAGGAAGAGCUGGGGCUGGAGCUGAAUUCUCCCAUUUAUCAACGUCUUCACCAAGGAGUCCUUGUCACCCCUUCCAGUCACCCACACAGCCCCCUGAGCCAUUUCAGUCCCCACUACGAUGGCUUGCUGAGUCCUGGAUGCUGAUUAAAAACCUGGACGGUGAGCACACUGAGAAGAAACAGACAUCGUGGUCAAGAGCAGAACCUCUAGAGUCAGAAGAACUUCAUGAAUAAGGAAUAAAUUACCUGAGACAACACUACUGCUGCAUGGAGGUCUCAACUCAAGCCGUUCUGUGCUGCGGCAUUUGUUUUAACCAAAUCCCAUUUAAAUGACCAGGGUUGCAUAUAUACAAAAUUGGAUAGGUGGCUAAUGAUGCAUGAGCACAUUUUAUAGGAAUCCACUUGACCUGCAAGGGAUCAAUUCCAUGAUUUGAUUAAAGGCUUAACCUUUCAGAGUCCAGCUUUGACCCUGUGUUCACAGAUAAAUCUCCAAAGCUGAUAGAUUCUGACAUUUAAGACUUAGAUUUAAGGAAAAGCGAUAUCCCAUUCUCCAUUUUUCUAGUAGAAAUGAAAUAGACCCAGCUGCACCAUUAAUUAGCUGCAUCAUUUUGUAUAACUCUCAUAUGCUCUCUUGGCCUCAGUCUCCCCAUUGGUAAAAUAAUAGAAAGCAUGUUUUACAUGUUUGGGAAGCAUGUUUACAACUUGGCUUCUCAGCUUCUUGGGGUUUUAUAAAGG
This 1121-nucleotide long non-coding RNA is filed under the name Macaca fascicularis (crab-eating macaque). Its description in RNAcentral is "lncRNA (ENSMFAG00000055316.1)". The record is from RNAcentral. Lineage: Eukaryota; Metazoa; Chordata; Mammalia; Primates; Cercopithecidae.